This 560-nucleotide ribosomal RNA is filed under the name Montanelia disjuncta. RNAcentral describes it as "eukaryotic LSU rRNA". It matches the Rfam family "Eukaryotic large subunit ribosomal RNA", at positions 71 to 643 of the family's 3401-position model. Lineage: Eukaryota; Fungi; Ascomycota; Lecanoromycetes; Lecanorales; Parmeliaceae. The record is from RNAcentral.
GGGAUUGCCUCAGUAACGGCGAGUGAAGCGGCAACAGCUCAAAUUUGAAAUCUGGCCCUUUCGGGGUCCGAGUUGUAAUUUGUAGAGAGUGUUUCGGGCGAGACCACGGUCUAAGUCCAUUGGAACAUGGCGUCAUAGAGGGUGAGAAUCCCGUAUGCGACCGUGGCUCGAGCCCAUGUGAAGCCUCUUCGACGAGUCGAGUUGUUUGGGAAUGCAGCUCAAAAUGGGUGGUAAAUUUCAUCUAAAGCUAAAUACUGGCUGGAGACCGAUAGCGCACAAGUAGAGUGAUCGAAAGAUGAAAAGCACUUUGGAAAGAGAGUUAAACAGUACGUGAAAUUGUUGAAAGGGAAGCGCUUGCAACCAGACCUGUCCGUAGGUGAUCAGCCGCUGUUCUCAGCGGUGCACUCGCUCUGCGAUCAGGCUAGCAUCGGUUUCGGCGACCGGAUAAAGGCCUUGGGAAUGUAGCUUCCUUUCGGGGGAGUCUUAUAGCUUUCGGUGCAAUGCGGCCAGCCGGGACCGAGGACCGCGCUUCGGCUAGGAUGCUGGCGUAAUGGUUGUAA